UGCCAGCAGCCGCGGUAAUACGGAGGGGGUUAGCGUUGUUCGGAAUUACUGGGCGUAAAGCGCACGUAGGCGGAUUAGUAAGUUAGAGGUGAAAUCCCGCGGCUCAACCGCGGACGUGCAUUGGAUACUGGCAGUCUUGAGUCCCGGAGAGGAGAGCGGAAUUCCUAGUGUAGAGGUGAAAUUCGUAGAUAUUAGGAGGAACACCAGUGGCGAAAGUGGCUCUCUGGGCGGUGACUGACGCUGAGGCACGAAAGCAUAGGUAGCAAACAGGAUUAGAUA
This 279-nucleotide ribosomal RNA is filed under the name uncultured bacterium. RNAcentral describes it as "partial 16S ribosomal RNA". It matches the Rfam family "Bacterial small subunit ribosomal RNA", at positions 506 to 784 of the family's 1533-position model. The record is from RNAcentral.